UGUCAACUGCACGGGUGAACAGUCCCAGGUAGCGAAAUUUACAAACGGCUGCUGACAUUAUAUUUGGGAAUGACAAAUGACAAGAAAACAUAGAGCUGUAUCACCUGUUUGGCUGGAUUUUUGCUUCUGACAGGUUGGAAGAACCCAUUGCACAAUGGACCAGGAUUUUUCGGACAUAGAUUCAGAGGGCCGGUGGCAAAACCUAUACGUUGAGAUUCGCAACCAGUCCCACGAAUGCUCUUACAAAGUGGCAAAGUAUCCUGAAAAUAGGAACAGGAACCGCUACAGAGAUGUCAGCCCAUUUGAUCACAGUCGAGUCAAACUGGAGAGCACAGAUAACGAUUACAUCAAUGCCAGUUUAGUGACGAAUGACGAAGCCCAAAGAAGUUACAUUUUAACUCAGGGUCCCCUGCGGAACACGUGUGGCCACUUCUGGCUGAUGAUCUGGGAGCAGAAGACCAAAGCCAUCGUGAUGCUGAACCGCGUCAUCGAGAAGGGAUCGGAGAAGUGUGCGCAGUACUGGCCAACCCAAGAUGAGCAUGACAUGACCUUCAGGGAUACACGUUUCAAGGUCACACUCCUGUCAGAAGACAUCAAGUCCUACUACACCACCAGGGUCCUGGAGUUGCAAAAUAUCACUACGGGCGAGACGCGGCAGCUGUACCACUUCCAUUACACCACCUGGCCGGACUUCGGCGUCCCAGAAUCCCCUGCUUCCUUCCUCAACUUCCUGUUCAAGGUGCGCGAGUCGGGCUCGCUGGGCCGCGACCACGGGCCGGCCGUGGUCCACUGCAGCGCCGGCAUCGGGCGCUCCGGAACCUUCUCUCUGGUCGACACCUGCCUGCUGCUGAUGGAGAAGCGUAGAGAGCCCUCGCUGGUGGACAUCAAGCGCAUCCUGCUGGACAUGAGACGCUACCGCAUGGGCCUCAUCCAGACGGCCGACCAGCUGCGCUUCUCAUACAUGGCCGUCAGGGAGGGAGCCAAGUCCAUCUUGGGAGACGGCUCAGCGCAGAAACGGUGGAAGGAGUUAUCGAGAGAAGACCACCAGCCCACGUCGGACUCCCCUCCUCCACCUCCUCCUCCUGCUCCUGCUCCUCCACUGACUCCCCAGUCCCCAUUGGGCCCUGGCACGGGCGUGGGCGUGGCCACGGGCCCCAAGACCACUCCUUCAGACAAACACAACGGCUGCCAGCCCCUCCUCCUCUCCUGCUCCUCCCCUUCCUCCCCCGCCGCGGACGAGCACAGCGACGGCGAGACGGGCAAACGCACGGGCACCGACUCUGACUCCUCGCCCUCCUCGCCCUCCUCGCCCGGCAAGGAGACGGAGGCAGACGGAGCCAUGGGCAACGGGCGUAAGCGGCAACGGGACGAGCGGCUGUCUAACUCCAACUCCACUCCGAAGAGCCCACAGAAGCAGAUCAAGCCUCGCCUGGGGGACUCAGAGAAGAAGAGGAAAAGUCUAGCCUGCAUAUGCUGUACAUGACGUUGGGAGGCGGGGGGAGGAGGGCUCCCGUGGCUGGCUGCCCGGUUAGGCCUGGUUCAGACUCAUCCUUCAGUUGCAGGACACGUACUGUCAGUAGGGGGUGGUGGCAGAUCACGUACCCAAACAGCCACCACGCCCCCCUCUUCAGAGCUGAAACGACCCCUUGCAGCGUUCAAUGUAUAUUUCUCCCAGGCUGAAUUUUCAGUAAUCUUCCGCUACCCCCCUGCUGACGGUACGUGUCCUGCAACUGAAGGAGGAGUCUGAACAGGAGUAGCUGUCCUGCAACUGAAGGAGGAGUCUAAACGGGUGUAGCUGUUCUCUGGGAAGAUUUGGUUUAGGAGGAGCCCCCCUGCCCUGCAGGUCCCGGGCCCGACUGCAGGCAAGAACCAGUGAUGCCUGACUUGGCUCCUCCCCCAGAAGCGUUAUCCUAUCCCCAAGGGAUGAACACCAGAGCUCCUCCUCCUCCUAUUCGUCCUCACAGCACCUCAGAGCCCGCCCACAUGCCUCCCGACAGCCUAUUAAAACUGUUUACAGCAGAGAUCAGUGGCAGAAGCAGAGGAACGUACAUUACGUGGGAAAUAUAUCUGAACACACACCACCAGCAACAUCAUGGUUCGACUGCUUUUUUUCUUCUCCGUUUUUUUUUUUCUUUUCUUUUCUUUUUUUUAACGUUACGUCUUUCAGUUUCAUUGUUUUUCUCCCUUAAAAAAAACACGCUCUUGUUACUUUCAGAGAGAGAGAGAGAGAGAGAGAGAGGGAGAGAAAUGGCAAAGAAAAAGCUGGACUAGGCCAAUGUAUGAGACGGGACAGCUCAGCUUGUAAUGCUUUUAUAUAUAAAUAUAUAUAAUAAAUAUUACAUGUGUAUUUGUAUUUUUAGACCUCCUUUUUCAAAGGCAAGAUUCAUAAAUGCUCUAUUUUUUAUAUGAAAUGACUUGAAAUUUCUUAUUAUUAUGUGUCAGGGGAGGGGUGGGCUGCAAACUCAAUCCUCAAUCCUCAAUCCGUUUUCUUUCUUGGGACAUUGAGUGCGUUCCAAUAUGCGGCCUUGCCUCCUCCACUUGCGCUUGUCUCCUCGCCACGCCUCCUGGCCCCUCCUCCGUGGAGAAAACGAUAAAGUUUCCCAGCUGUCAGCCUAGCCACAACUUUUGAGGGACUGUUUUUCAUUCACCAUCCCAAUUGCAAAUGAGAAAAAGACUCUACAAUUGAGCUUUUGCAAGAUAUUGAAAUAUAAUGAUGUUGUCAGUGAUGUCAUCAUGACAAGAAGCAAGUGGAGGAGGCAAGGUAGCGUAUUGCAACGCACUCUAUAUCCACUCUUGCGUCAGGACUCCGUUUUGCAAAAGCAUCGAUGCUAACCAGUUAGCAACUACUUACAAGGUUUCCAAUGGGAAAUUGCAUUGUAACCAAGUAAGUUGCUAACUUAGUUAGCAACGAUAUUGUUGAGAAACACACCCCCAGGAAUGCUUUUCUUGUUCUGUACAUAGUGUACGUUUGAAGAUGUGAUGUAAAGAAGAAAAAAAAAGAGACACACAAACUAUUUUGAAUUGUACAAUAUAAUGGGAUUGUUAUUUGGUAUGGAAACGGCUUAAUAAACACUGUGGUAAACGACCAGUAGCCUACACCCGAAAUGAAUGAAAAUAACAAUUAAUGAAUUUAAGUCUUACAUUUCAUUACUGGAGACUGUAUCUUGCAAAUAAAAACUGGCAUCCUUUAGUUUCUAA
This is an RNA transcript of Engraulis encrasicolus (European anchovy), 3198 nucleotides long. It is a transcript of the gene named protein tyrosine phosphatase non-receptor type 2b, with no coding region annotated. The transcript is spliced from 11 exons. NCBI's taxonomy places the organism in Eukaryota, Metazoa, Chordata, Actinopteri, Clupeiformes, Engraulidae. The record is from RefSeq and is a predicted model, not a curated record.